Molecule: long non-coding RNA, 3938 nt
Organism: Strigops habroptila (Kakapo)
Lineage: Eukaryota; Metazoa; Chordata; Aves; Psittaciformes; Psittacidae
Source: Ensembl
GGUGACGGUAGGAGCCGCCUCGUAGGGCUGCGGUGCCGUUAGCGCCCCGGCAGCGGGAGCUGCCUCGCCGCCACGGGGUGGUGAUCGCGGCGAAGCGGGACUUCGGGCUCCCUUGGCCCUACAGCCGCCUCUUGCGCCCCUCCCCGGGCCUCUUUCCGCCGCCGCGGGGCAAGCUACAGUGCAAGAAUGAUCAUCCCAGUGAGAUGUUUCACAUGCGGCAAAAUAGUUGGAAACAAGUGGGAAGCCUAUCUUGGCCUUCUGCAAGCAGAAUAUACAGAAGGAGAUGCCCUGGAUGCCCUUGGUUUGAAGAGAUACUGCUGCCGCAGAAUGCUCCUGGCCCAUGUGGAUCUGAUUGAGAAGCUUUUGAAUUAUGCGCCCCUGGAGAAAUGAGAUAGAUGAACAAAGUACCACACUGCAAACUACAUGGAGCGGAUCUCUAAUGCUAAACUUGAAACUGGACUUCAGGUAGUAAUGGAUGAAAGCCACCUGUCAUGCAGCCACUGGGAAAUGUUUAGCCUCUGCAGAAAAUACUGCCCUGAGACAAUAACGUCUUUCAAGGAAACAAAGGAAAGAUGAAGUCCACUUAACCAAGAUUUGGAGAUCAAGUUAAAAGUUUGGAUGCUUCUUUUUUUAAAUCUGUGUUUGGAGUUGUUUUGUGAACUUUUAGAUGCAGCUGCCAGCAAAAAUAAGUGUGUGUUCAUAUAGAGAAAUUACUAUAUUUCAUUAAAAUGUUGAAAUAAAGGAGGUCUUUCCCUGUAGGCUUCCUACAGUUUCUGGAUAGAGUGUGUGCUUGGAUCCUGCCAUUUGUUUGUGCUGGUUACUUUGAGGUUAGGAGUACUAUUAAGUAAGUUUGGUCCUUUGCACUAGGCAGGCAGGGGGAUUAGAAACAUGGGACUGAAGCUCAACUGUUCCAGCAACAAGGAAGUGGGUAAGUUUGGUAAGAAUGAGGCAUUACUCCUGAAAGCUGCUGGAGCUAUCAGAGCGUACUUCCCACUGCAGUUCAAAUCAACUUGUGGUCUCUAUCCCAAUUCUUACGAAACACUGCAGCUGCUGUAUUAUAAAAAACAGGGCAUCAGAUGGUGCAGUGCCCUUCAGUUAGGUAAAACAUGUAUGAGUGUUCCUAUGGAAAGCACUUGAUGUGCGAAUUUACGCAUGCUGGUGUGAACAGGAUCAAAGUCUUGAUCUUGCCAAGCACCUGUACCUCCCUGUAGCUGGUACACAUGCAAGCUUUCCACUUGCUUGUCAUUUCACUGGCUUCACGUUGUGCUGGGCAGGUGGUGUAUUACUGCCUGGCCAAAUGGAGGCUGUCCUGGUAGAACCAAACACAGAGAGGUCAGCCAUACAUGCCGGGCUUGUGCAGGUUACCUCCAUGGGGAGACAGGCACUGACCCUGCCAAAAAGUCUCACCUUCCUAUCGUGCUGUCGGCUUGAAAGCGGAGCAUGUUUCACGCUGUUCUCUGACAUCCAGAAAACACACAGGCAGACACACCCACCCUACCUGAAAAUUAAGGAGGCCAAUUCCUACAUCUGUGAACACUCAGGAUUCUGUUCAAAGGCAGCGUUAGUCCACAUGCACAUGUAGGACAAAUCAUCGUUGCAGCAGCCCUGUAGAAAACAGGCUAGAACAGAUGAUGAUCCCUCAGCUUGCAGCCUGUUAUUCCUUGAUACAGUGAAACUUUUGGCAGUCACCUAUUGGCUGCUGGGUAAGAAGUAUCUCUGGAUUUUUUUCCAUAGUUGAAUAACCACAAAGUUGAACAAAACCUGGGUUUCCAGAGAUACUAAUUAUUUAAUGUGCUUACUGUCAAACAUGUACACACAAACCUUAAAACUAGAUUGUCUCACAAAAUAAGUUGCAGGUCAGCUUGCCUUUGGCUAUCACCCCACCAAUCUUUACACUUGACCUUGCUUUUCAAUUUAGUGCAAGGCAAUAGUAGGUUUCCCAAAUUCAGCAGUUUUUCACUGAAGACAUUUUAAAACCGUAUGCUUUAUCCUAAUGCAAAGAGAAUUAAGCAAUUAAUUCUAGCAUUUGUUUCAUAGUUGAUUGGACAGCUUAUGUUCUGCAUGCCUGCUGUGUUAGCUAGUUAAAUGCACUUAAACACCACUUCUCUUUCAGGCUAUUUUAUAAAAGGGACACUAUAAAAUAUAGGAUGACCUUUCCAAACUGAACUCCUGUAGGACACUUUUCCAUGUUCCAGUGGAGCAUUACAUGGAGAUGCGUGCCAGGUUGCUCACAGAAAGAUGAGAAUGCCAGGCCCAGCACUCAUUCAUGAGCUGUACUGAGAAAGCGCAGCAGCCCAGGCUGGUAUGUCUGGCAGAGGCAGCCGUGCGUUAUGCCGUGUGGAAAGCUGUCCUGCAUGAGUGCCAAAGAACUGGAUUAGACGAACUGACAGGACUGUGUUUCUAGCUGCAAAAGCAAUUAUCUAAUCUAGUUUUCUGCUUUAAAAUAAAGUGUUUCUUUUCAAAGCUGAUCCUAAGUUGUGCAAUAUGAAAAGCUAUGGCUCUUAAACACUUAUCAUGAAGAUGCAAUUUGCAAAAACACAGCAGGCCUCGUUCAGAAAGUUAAAGGAAAAAUAAAAACUGCCUUAGUUGCUCUCAUUACUGUUUCUCAGACAGAAAACAUGGUGCAGUAGGAGACAGUGACAGUCUGGUAUCGCUCUGUCAGACAGACGUUACACAAGGAGCAGGAAAAAAACCUGAGCAGCAAGACUAAGUCACAGCAGGCAGCAACAUUAGCUCCUGCAGCACAUGACAACUUCUCUGCAUCGCAGCCCUUCCUUGGGAGUUUGCAAAUGCAGCAUUGACCAAAAAAAAGCCAUUUCUGUAAUGUGGAGAAGCAAAUGGUUUAUCGUGUUCAUGUGAAAGGUUGUCUCUAGAGCUUUGUCCUUGGGAGGGUUAGGGGCAGCAGCAGAGCUUAAAUCCUGUUCUGUAAAGAGACAGGGAAUUUUUCAGUGCAUUUCUAUAAAUCCCAGCUUUCACCCCUGCUCACUGGUAACUAAGAAAGUAACUCCCUUUCCGCUGUCAUUUCUCCUGUGCUUGCUUCUGCAGCUGUUAAUAACAUAAGUGCAUUGGAUCUGCUUUCUAACCUGCCAGAUCUCUUUAGAGAAGAGCCAUUGAAUAUGCUCACAACCACCAUGUUGUUUAAAGCCAAUGUGAAAGACGUGUAUACACACGCACAUGGAGAAAAAGCCUUGGUUUUCACUGAAUCUUAAUAAAAAGGAACCCUUAGCAGAAUCAACAAAGAGGCAGAAGUGGCAAAGAAAGAGAAAUAGGACUGAAUAUACAGCUCUUAAUUACACGUGGAAAUCUGUCAUUUGGAAGCUUGCUGAAAAAAAACCCAACAAGAUCCCACCAGUCCCUGCAGUCAUUCAUUCACCUUAUAUAUAAAGCAUUUCAUGAAUUUUUCAAGUCUGUUUUGAAAGCCUGUUGCAGGGCUCACACAAACCUGCUAUUGGAAAAGCAAGCAAGCACCAUCAGAAGUGUAACAGCAAAACCCCCAGCGCCCAGGCUGCAGCCUCCCAGGCCAGGACAGCAUCAGGCAGGACUUUCACACAUCACUAUCAUAUAAAAAUAAUGAAGUAGUGCCUGAGAAGCAUGUGAUAGGAGUUGAGGUCAUGAAAGCACAGAGGAAUCUGCCUGUGGCGUCCAGAGUCCUGCUUCUACCUGGAGCACCAAGGUAUGUGUGUGCUUGGAAAGCUUUACAUUUCUUGACAGUUUUAACCAAAGAAACAAACCUCUUGCUCAAAAUUCUGAGUCCACCUGCAGGAAGGAAGUGACAUGCUUUCAUGCCUAUCUGUAAUGAGCCUCAAGCCUUGUAUUUCAAAAGUUUUGCUCCAAAAAAUCACCCCUUGUGAGCAUCGCACCCCAGGAUGAUUUAUUGAGAGAUGUGUGCUGGGUUUUUGUUCUUCCUGUACCCUCUACCUGAAUACAGCCUGCAAUUG